GAUCAGAUCAAGCGCGAGAAGGGCGUUUGGUGGAUGCCUUGGCAGUAAGAGGCGAUGAAGGACGUGAUACUCUGCGAUAAGUCAUGGGGAGCUGAGAAUAAGCUUUGAUCCAUGAAUUUCCGAAUGGGGCAACCCACCUGACAGUUGAUUAUAAUAGCCUUCGGGCAUUUUAUAGUUGGCUGAAACAGGUACUUAUUACCUGAAUAUAUAGGGUUUUAAGAGCAAACCCGGGGAACUGAAACAUCUAAGUACCCGGAGGAAAGGACAUCAAUAGAGACUCCCCUAGUAGCGGCGAGCGAACGGGGACCAGCCGAGCCAUGAGAGUGACCAGAACUGUUUGGAAAAGCAGACCAUAGUGGGUGACAGUCCCGUAUGGGUAGCUCGAUUGGACGUAUUAAGUAGGGCGGGACACGUGAAAUCCUGUCUGAAGAUCGGGGGACCACCCCCGAAGGCUAAGUACUCCUUACUGACCGAUAGCGAACCAGUACCGUGAGGGAAAGGUGAAAAGCACCCCGACGAGGGGAGUGAAACAGUACCUGAAACCGAACGCCUACAAUCAGUUGGAGGGCCCUUGCGGCCUGACAGCGUACCUUUUGUAUAAUGGGUCAUCGACUUGGUCUCACAAGCAAGCUUAAGCCGUUAGGUGUAGGCGCAGCGAAAGCGAGUCUUAAUAGGGCGCAUGAGUUUGUGGGAUCAGACCCGAAACCGAGUGAUCUAGGCAUGACCAGGAUGAAGGUAAGGUAACACUUACUGGAGGUCCGAACCCACACCUGUUGAAAAAGGUCGGGAUGAGUUGUGCCUAGGGGUGAAAGGCCAAUCAAACUCGGAGAUAGCUGGUUCUCCGCGAAAUCUAUUUAGGUAGAGCGUCGUCCGAAUACCCUCGGGGGUAGAGCACUGGAUGGGUAAUGGGGUCCCACAGACUUACUGAUCCUAACCAAACUCCGAAUACCGAGGAGUACUAGACGGCAGACACACUGCGGAUGCUAACGUCCGUAGUGAAGAGGGAAACAACCCUGACCUCCAGCUAAGGCCCCUAAUUCAUGGCUAAGUGGGAAAGCAGGUGAGACGGCCAAAACAACCAGGAGGUUGGCUUAGAAGCAGCCAUCCUUUAAAGAUAGCGUAACAGCUCACUGGUCUAAUUUAGCUGUCUUGCGGCGAAGAUGUAACGGGGCUCAAGCCAUGAGCCGAAGCUGAGGAUGCACAUAGUGCAUGGUAGCGGAGCGUAGUGUGACAUAGGACUUCGUCUUUACUGAUCUUUUGCAGGACCAAUUUUGGAUACCGGGUGUUCGCACUCAAGUAGCCGAAGGCGGUAGUGCAAAUAAGAGGUCAGAAAAGACGUUAGUCUUUUCUGUGAAGCCGGGGCGUGAGCCAUCCGGUGGAGAGAUCACUAGUGAGAAUGAUGACAUGAGUAGCGACAAAGGGAGUGAGAGACUCCCUCGCCGAAAGUCCAAGGGUUCCUGCUUAAAGCUAAUCUGAGCAGGGUAAGCCGACCCCUAAGGCGAGGCCGAAAGGCGUAGUCGAUGGGAAUCAGGUUAAUAUUCCUGAGCCAGUAGGAUGUGACGGAUUGCGACGGUUGUUCCUCCUUAUCGGAUUGGAGGGGCCGCUUAGCAGUUCCUGGAAAUAGCCCUACAUGAGAUCGUACCCUAAACCGACACAGGUGGACUGGUAGAGAAUACCAAGGCGCUUGAGAGAACGAUGUUGAAGGAACUCGGCAAAAUACCUCCGUAAGUUCGCGAGAAGGAGGCCCGGUAGAUACGCAAGUAUUUGCCGGGGGCACAAACCAGGGGGUGGCGACUGUUUACUAAAAACACAGGGCUCUGCGAAGUCGCAAGACGACGUAUAGGGUCUGACGCCUGCCCGGUGCCUGAAGGUUAAAAGGAGGGGUGCAAGCUCUGAAUUGAAGCCCAGGUAAACGGCGGCCGUAACUAUAACGGUCCUAAGGUAGCGAAAUUCCUUGUCGGGUAAGUUCCGACCUGCACGAAUGGCGUAACGACUUCCCCGCUGUCUCCAACAUCGACUCAGCGAAAUUGAAUUGCCUGUCAAGAUGCAGGCUUCCCGCGGUUAGACGGAAAGACCCCGUGCACCUUUACUACAGCUUCACACUGGCAUUAGGCCGAACAUGUGCAGGAUAGGUGGUGGGCUUUGAAGCAGGGACGCUAGUCCCUGUGGAGCCUCCCUUGAGAUACCACCCUUGUUCUGCUUGAUGUCUAACCGCGCACCGUUAUCCGGUGCCGGGACCCUGUGUGGCGGGUAGUUUGACUGGGGCGGUCGCCUCCUAAAGCGUAACGGAGGCGCGCGAAGGUUGGCUCAGAGCGGUCGGAAAUCGCUCGUUGAGUGCAAUGGCAGAAGCCAGCCUGACUGCGAGACUGACAAGUCGAGCAGAGACGAAAGUCGGCCAUAGUGAUCCGGUGGUCCCAAGUGGGAGGGCCAUCGCUCAACGGAUAAAAGGUACGCCGGGGAUAACAGGCUGAUACUGCCCAAGAGUCCAUAUCGACGGCAGUGUUUGGCACCUCGAUGUCGGCUCAUCUCAUCCUGGGGCUGGAGCAGGUCCCAAGGGUACGGCUGUUCGCCGUUUAAAGAGGUACGUGAGCUGGGUUUAGAACGUCGUGAGACAGUUCGGUCCCUAUCUGCCGUGGGUGUAGGAUACUUGAGAAGAGUUGCCCCUAGUACGAGAGGACCGGGGUGAACGAACCACUGGUGGACCAGUUGUCGUGCCAACGGCAGUGCUGGGUAGCUAUGUUCGGACAGGAUAACCGCUGAAGGCAUCUAAGCGGGAAGCCCCCUUCAAAACAAGGUAUCCCUGAGGGCCGUGGUAGACCACCACGUCGAUAGGCUGGAGAUGUAAGCGCAGCAAUGCGUUCAGUUGACCAGUACUAAUUGCCCGAUAGGCUUGAUUUGAUCCAG
RNAcentral lists this ribosomal RNA (2904 nucleotides) under Pseudooceanicola sediminis. Its description in RNAcentral is "bacterial LSU rRNA". It matches the Rfam family "Bacterial large subunit ribosomal RNA". RNAcentral also lists the same sequence under 1 other name. The record is from RNAcentral. Lineage: Bacteria; Pseudomonadati; Pseudomonadota; Alphaproteobacteria; Rhodobacterales; Paracoccaceae.